Molecule: ribosomal RNA, 2878 nt
Filed under: Moraxella catarrhalis
Lineage: Bacteria; Pseudomonadati; Pseudomonadota; Gammaproteobacteria; Moraxellales; Moraxellaceae
Description: 23S ribosomal RNA
Rfam family: Bacterial large subunit ribosomal RNA
Source: RNAcentral
GUUGUAUGGUCAAGUAAUGAAGUGCACAUGGUGGAUGCCUUGGCAGUCAGAGGCGAAGAAAGACGUGAUAGCCUGCGAUAAGCGUCGGUGAGGUGGCAAUAUCCUGUGACCCGGCGAUUUCUGAAUGGGGAAACCCAACCAACAUAAGUUGGUUAUUACACAGUUUACUGUGUAAGGCAAACCGGGAGAAGUGAAACAUCUCAGUACCCCGAGGAAAAGACAUCAAAUGAGAUUCCGUAAGUAGCGGCGAGCGAACACGGAGGAGCCGAUCAAUUUUACAGUAGCAAAAUGGCGUGGGAAAGCCAACCAUAGUAGGUGAUAGUCCUGUAUGCGAAACUGUUUAAGCGACAUAUUAAGUAGGGCGGAACACGAGAAAUUCUGUCUGAAGAUGGGGGGACCAUCCUCCAAGGCUAAAUACUCCUGACUGACCGAUAGUGAACCAGUACCGUGAGGGAAAGGCGAAAAGAACCCCUGUUAGGGGAGUGAAAUAGAACCUGAAACCGUGUGCAUACAAGCAGUCGGAGCGGACUUGUUCCGUGACGGCGUACCUUUUGUAUAAUGGGUCAGCGACUUAUAUUCUGUAGCAAGGUUAACCGAAUAGGGGAGCCGUAGGGAAACCGAGUCUUAAUAGGGCGAAUGAGUUGCAGGGUAUAGACCCGAAACCGAGUGAUCUAUCCAUGAGCAGGUUGAAAGUGCCGUAACAGGCACCGGAGGACCGAACCCACUGUCGUUGAAAAGCCAGGGGAUGACUUGUGGAUAGGGGUGAAAGGCUAAUCAAACUCGGUGAUAGCUGGUUCUCCCCGAAAGCUAUUUAGGUAGCGCCUCGGACGAACACCAUUGGGGGUAGAGCACUGUUUCGGCUAGGGGGUCACACCGACUUACCAAACCGAUGCAAACUCCGAAUACCGAUGAGUGAUAUCCGGGAGACAGACGGCGGGUGCUAACGUCCGUCGUCAAGAGGGAAACAACCCAGACCGCCAGCUAAGGCCCCAAAUUCCUAGUUAAGUGGGAAACGAUGUGGGAAGGCACAGACAGCUAGGAGGUUGGCUUAGAAGCAGCCACCCUUUAAAGAAAGCGUAAUAGCUCACUAGUCGAGUCGGCCUGCGCGGAAGAUGUAACGGGGCUCAAACUAGGAGCCGAAGCUGCGGAUUUAAUUGUUUCAAUUAAGUGGUAGGGGAGCGUUGUGUAAGCCUGUGAAGGUGCACUGUAAGGUGUGCUGGAGGUAUCACAAGAGCGAAUGCUGACGUGAGUAACGACAAAACGGGUGAAAAGCCCGUUCGCCGGAAGACCAAGGGUUCCAGUCCAACGUUAAUCGGGGCUGGGUGAGUCGACCCCUAAGGCGAGGCCGAAAGGCGUAGUCGAUGGGAAAUCGGUUAAUAUUCCGAUACUUGUUUAUGAUGCGAUGGAGGGACGGAGAAGGUUAUGCCAGCCUGGCGAUGGUUGUCCAGGUGGAAGGAUGUAGUUAGACUGAGUAGGCAAAUCCGCUCGGUUAUUAAUGAGAUCUGAUAGCAAGCUGAUUUAUCAGCGAAGUGGCAAAUACCCUGCUUCCAGGAAAAGCUUCUAAGCGAUAGUCAUAAACGAAUCGUACCCGAAACCGACACAGGUGGUCAGGUAGAGAAUACCAAGGCGCUUGAGAGAACUCUGCUGAAGGAACUAGGCAAAAUGGUACCGUAACUUCGGGAGAAGGUACGCUGCCGAUGGUGAUGAAACUUGCUUUCUGAGCUGUUGGCAGUCGCAGAUACCAGGCUGCUGCAACUGUUUAUUAAAAACACAGCACUCUGCAAACACGAAAGUGGACGUAUAGGGUGUGAUGCCUGCCCGGUGCUGGAAGGUUAAUUGAUGGGGUUAGCGUAAGCGAAGCUCUUGAUCGAAGCCCCAGUAAACGGCGGCCGUAACUAUAACGGUCCUAAGGUAGCGAAAUUCCUUGUCGGGUAAGUUCCGACCUGCACGAAUGGCAUAAUGAUGGCAGCGCUGUCUCCAGCAGAGACUCAGUGAAAUCGAAAUCGCAGUGAAGAUGCUGUGUACCCGCGGCUAGACGGAAAGACCCCGUGAACCUUUACUACAGCUUUACAUUGAACUUUGACCUAACUUGUGUAGGAUAGGUGGGAGGCUUUGAAGCAGAUACGCCAGUAUUUGUGGAGCCAACCUUGAAAUACCACCCUGGUUAUGUUGGGGUUCUAACUUAGGAUUAACAAAUCCAAGGACAAUGUAUGGUGGGUAGUUUGACUGGGGCGGUCUCCUCCUAAAGAGUAACGGAGGAGUACGAAGGUGCGCUCAGAACGGUCGGAAAUCGUUCAAAGAGUAUAAAGGCAAAAGCGCGCUUAACUGCGAGACCCACAAGUCGAGCAGGUACGAAAGUAGGUCUUAGUGAUCCGGUGGUUCUGUAUGGAAGGGCCAUCGCUCAACGGAUAAAAGGUACUCUGGGGAUAACAGGCUGAUACCGCCCAAGAGUUCAUAUCGACGGCGGUGUUUGGCACCUCGAUGUCGGCUCAUCUCAUCCUGGGGCUGAAGCAGGUCCCAAGGGUAUGGCUGUUCGCCAUUUAAAGAGGUACGCGAGCUGGGUUUAGAACGUCGUGAGACAGUUCGGUCCCUAUCUACCGUGGGCGUUGGAAAUUUGAGAGGAUCUGCUCCUAGUACGAGAGGACCAGAGUGGACGAACCUCUGGUGUUUCGGUUGUCACGCCAGUGGCAUUGCCGAGUAGCUAUGUUCGGAUGGGAUAACCGCUGAAAGCAUCUAAGCGGGAAGCCCACCUCAAGAUAAGAUUUCCCUAAAGAGCCGUUGUAGACUACGACGUUGAUAGGUUGGGUGUGGAAGUGUAGUGAUACAUGUAGCUAACCAAUACUAAUUGCUCGUUUGGCUUGACCAUACAACACCCAAG